UUUUAGCUGGGUGUCCAAAUCGUGCUCACCCUCAGGUGUAUGGGAGAUUAGAGGGUUUGGCAGGAAUGUGGUUAUGUUUGAAAUCUCACCUGGAGAUGCUGACGUGCUCGCACGUCCAGCUGUGUGUAUCCCAGAUAAGGCGUUCUGUAACACCAGUAGAGUCUCUAACAUUUCUAAUCCUCGCAGUAUAUUCUCAUCACAUUCUGCCCACUCUUAAAGAAAGCGCAUACUGUAAAUUCAUCUCUUUUAUUAAUUGUUUUGUUCCUUAAGCUUUCUAAUUAUGAUUAAAGUUUAUUUCUAAAGGGAGCAGGUUGCACGUUCUUCUUGUGUGUGUUUGCUGCAGGCACAACUUUUUGUUUAAACCGUAUAGUUUGCUGAAUUGUUGUUUAUAAAUUGCCCGUAGUGCGUUGGUGUCAUCAACCUUGUUCCCUUAUUUCACUGUGUCUCACACUCACAAUUGUAACACACACCUGAAAAUUAGAAAUUUAGUUUAAGAUAUAUAAUAAAAUGGUCUGGACAACAGGAAGCAGAAAUGGACAGAAUGGGGCAAGUUAGCAUAAAAUAUCUAUAGAACAAUAUCAGGAGAUACUUUCAUGGGAAACUAAUAUUUCCAUUGCAUUUUCCAGUUAAAACAUUAAAAUCAAUGGAUGACUAUUUGUUAGCUGUGGAAAUAAAAAGAACCCACAUAUGCUGAAAAUAUUUCCAGAAUUAUAUGAGUUCAUUUCAGUUCUCUAUUGCUUUCAGUCUAAGAAGCCCACAAUAUUUAAUCAAGACAGAUGACAUUUCAACACUGUGCAUAAAGUAUUGCUCAUGGCUUGCACCUUGUCCUUAGGAAGCUUCUGUUAUCACCCAUCAUGAUCACUGGACCCUUGUACUGUGACACAAAGGACAUCCCAACAGAUGAAGACAGCCAACUACUGAACAUCAAACCAAUCACUCUCAAGGGGUGCUUGAGAAAAAGAUGACAUAGGGAGAAAGAUCGUAAUAAAGAGGAGGACAAAGAUGAAGGAACGACCAUGCCGGUCCAAAAGGUUUCAAGAAGCAAACAGCAUUUACCACUAACUGACAGUGAUUGGGCAUCCUCAACAUUAGAACCCAGUUAUUUUGCUGGGAGGGUGGCCCUCUGUAGGCCAGAGGUGGAAAUGAAAAUAGCCCCAGAAAAGGUUAACACAGCACAUAGUGUUUCUACAGUACAUCUUAUAAUCCUUUUGAAUGACUUUUGAUUUCUUACAUCUAUUAUCUUUUAAUAAUUUGGUUUUGUUUUAUGGUAGACAUGUUAUGUCGACUCUGACUUGCCAAACAAAAGGGGAAUUUACAAUUAAUGUUAUUUAGAGUUCAGAGACCUUGUUAUGACUCCCUCACAACUUACGAGGUCACCUCCAUCAUUAAUCUGUGAUUUAUGGGUGUGAAGAAAGGACAGGAAUGGGGUGAUACAUGCAGGAGACCUGAUCUGUGAGGGAUUUAUCUGGCAAACAGAUAUUUUACUGUUACAUGGUGCAUUGCAUAUUAUUAUGUUUUAUUUAAGCAUGUUUAGAGUUACAGUAGCAUGUUGGCUGACACUAGAGCCUCACACCACCAUGACUGGGGGUUCGAUUCUAACCCCAGUUCCCUGUUUGUAGGAUCUCUCUGGGUUCACCCAGAGGUUCCUAUAUAUUCUCUAGUUUCCUCCCUCAGCUAAAACAGGUGAAUUUCUAUCUCUAAGUUACCCAAAGUGCAUGAUCAUGUGUCUGGCAUAUGGUGGAAGGGCAUCCAAUCAGGGUGCAUCCCCGCCUUAUGGCCUGACCUUCUUGGGAUAGGCUCAAGGCUCACUAUGACCCUGCAUUGCAGUGUUUUCCAGUCUGGUCCUUGGGAACCCACAGUCAGUCCAUGUUUUUGCUCCCUCCAAGUUCCCUGCCAGACAGUCCACAUUUUUGCUCCUGGGAGGGUGCAAAAACGUGGACUGUCUGUGGGUUCUGGAGGACCAGAUUGGGAAACACUGCUGUAAUGAAUAAGAGGAGGUUAUGGAAGAUGGAUGGAAAUUUAUGAUAGUGAGUAACAGUAUGAACAGUCUGGGAAAAGAGCUGGGAAAAAAGAGGUAUUCUUGUAGAAGCAACCGGAAAUUACUCAUUUCUCAUUUCUUUUUCAUCUGAAUUUUUAAGAAAUCCUUGAAAGAAUGUUUAUAAACAUAGACCCCUAAUCCCUAGUGAGUGUGUUCCUACACUAAAACCAUUGAAGAAGAUGCCAAACUUCCACCAUGACCACACGGGGCCAGAGAAUGACUGGAAGGCUGAAGGGUUGGCUUCACUGACCCAGCUUCUUCAUCAUGAGGGCAGACAGGGGUGCCCUGUUUGUUUCGCCUCACUUCCAACUAAGUGUCACAAAGCUGAAGUCGAGCACCACCACGUCACGGCUUAUCCUGAGCCCAGUGACUCCGGCUGCCACUAUACGCUUGAUCAGCGUAUCUAUACGUCAUCCUUUGUAAUCGUCCCACCACAUCUCUCACAUUUGCUCCUCUCUGAACACAGGUGGUUAAACAUAUCAUCACUGUCCAAUGAAAUCCAUUAUUUCAGGAGUGUGAAAAUAUGCAUUUUCUCAGAACCUGUGUUUCAAUAUAUACCUAAAUCAAUGGAAUGAUCCUUAGCACCCCAAUAAGAAAGAAUCUUUACACGGCCCUCAGUGAAUGGUUAAACAUUUAGGAUGGAUUUACAUGGAUUGUUGUCAACGAGGUAUGUCAAUGUCAACAAAAUACAAUUAACAAUGAUGUUUAUUAGCUAGCUACAGUUACAUAGCUAUUACAUACCUACAUAGCUAGCAAAUGUUAAUUUAUUUGCCACUGCAUUAUUCCCAUGUUUAUACUUUUAACAUAACUCAACGGCUCGUUCCUGUCACUCUGAAUGGGUGACCAUUGGGCAGCUGUUUGUGUGUUUAGUGUAAAUUAUCUGUGAAAAUUGACUUUUUAAUGGCACCAGGAGUGAAUGUUUCACAGCCUUUGUAACUGUUCAAAACAUCCACUACUUGAAAGAUAAAGUGUAAUUCAAUCAAA
Molecule: long non-coding RNA, 3022 nt
Organism: Paramormyrops kingsleyae
Lineage: Eukaryota; Metazoa; Chordata; Actinopteri; Osteoglossiformes; Mormyridae
Source: RefSeq, a predicted model, not a curated record